Molecule: ribosomal RNA, 260 nt
Filed under: uncultured bacterium
Lineage: Bacteria
Description: partial 16S ribosomal RNA
Rfam family: Bacterial small subunit ribosomal RNA
Source: RNAcentral
UACGUAGGGCGCAAGCGUUUGUCCGGAAUUAUUGGGCGUAAAGAGCUCGUAGGCGGUUUGUCGCGUCUGCUGUGAAAACCUAAGGCUCAACCUUGGGCUUGCAGUGGGUACGGGCAGACUAGAGUGCGGUAGGGGUGACUGGAAUUCCUGGUGUAGCGGUGGAAUGCGCAGAUAUCAGGAGGAACACCGAUGGCGAAGGCAGGUCACUGGGCCGCAACUGACGCUGGAGGAGCGGAAAAGCAUUGGGGGAGCGAAACAGG